UUUAGACAUGAGCCAUAAUGUAUAUAUCAAAAUACUGAUAAAGUCCGUUUCCAGCUUGAUUGUAUUUGCAUUUGUUGUAUUUGCAUUGUUGCAGAAAAAGUUGUGCAAUAUAUGGUGGGCUUAUGUCACAUACUCGUAUGUAAUUCCAUGUGCCUGCAUGUACAGUACUUUGAUGCCUCAAGAGAUGCUUCGAAUGUGUAAUAAAGGGCUGUUCGCAGGAGUUGGGCUGUCUGGCCUUAAAUUGCAUUGUUUUUAUGAUAUUUUAAGAUUGUGUUCAUUUGGCUGGACCAUCUUGCCAUUGCCACAAUGUCUGAUGUUCAAACAGGCUUUAAAAUCAGGUUACAAUGCAUGCUUGAAAAUAUGCAACAAUUUCACUGCUAAUAAUAUUCCAGAAAAUCCUGCCUCUUGGGCAGAUCUGGACUGAUUUGUCAGA
This is a non-coding RNA of Paramuricea clavata, 433 nucleotides long. Lineage: Eukaryota; Metazoa; Cnidaria; Anthozoa; Malacalcyonacea; Plexauridae. The record is from the annotation of a GenBank genome assembly.